RNAcentral lists this ribosomal RNA (253 nucleotides) under uncultured bacterium. Its description in RNAcentral is "partial 16S ribosomal RNA". It matches the Rfam family "Bacterial small subunit ribosomal RNA", at positions 524 to 776 of the family's 1533-position model. The record is from RNAcentral.
UACGGAGGGGGCAAGCGUUAUUCGGAAUUAUUGGGCGUAAAGGGCGCGUAGGCGGCUAGAUGUGUCAAAGGUGAAAUCCCUCGGCUCAACCGAGGAGCGUCGGCCGAUACUGUCGUUCUUGAGGGAUGCAGAGGAGACUGGAAUUCCCGGUGUAGCGGUGAAAUGUGUAGAGAUCGGGAGGAACACCGGUGGCGAAGGCGGGUCUCUGGGCAUCUCCUGACGCUGAGGCGCGAAAGCGUGGGGAGCAAACGGG